This 1990-nucleotide long non-coding RNA is filed under the name Pelobates cultripes (western spadefoot toad). Lineage: Eukaryota; Metazoa; Chordata; Amphibia; Anura; Pelobatidae. The record is from RNAcentral.
UGAAGCAAUACUCAUCAAUCUGAUAGAGUUUAACACUUAAAACAACUGAUGUUAAAGAAGGGGAGGGAAAAGGGAUGAGUGGGGUGUCAUAAAUAGCAGAAGAUGUGCCUGAAAGUGAAAGGUGCAGGUUGGCUAAGAAUAGCCAGAAAAAGUAAAUAAGCUAGUUAAAGAACAAAAAAAACAAAAACAAGAAAACAGCAAAGCAGGGCAUGCAAGUAUAUGGAUGCAUAUAUGUAUGUAUAUAAAUUGAUCCAAUAAAGGUGAAGCGAGAAUAUUGAAAAAUAACUAAGUAAGACAUUAAGAUAGCGUUUAUAAAAAGUUUUGGUAGUGUGUGAGAAAGCCAAAGUCUACAUUAGGUCCUUCAUUUCUGGUGUUGAAAUGUGUGAUCUUGUGUCUUUCGUUCAUGAGAGUUUUUGAAGUUCCCUUUAAAAACUUUAAUCCUGAGGUUUUGGAUGGAGUGACCAGUCUGGGUGAAGUGAUGACCAACAGGGGUACAAUAUCCAUUUUCCAUGUGGUUCUUGAUUGAGUGUCUAUGUAGAUUCAUUUUGAGAUGCACCUAAGGCCAGUUUCUCCAAUGUAGCAACCUUUGUCACACAAUGUACACUGUAUCAUGUACACCAUAUUCGCAGAUGUGCACGGACAUGAUCCCUUAAUGUUGUGUGAUUUGUUACUGUGUCUGGCUGUGUUAUUGCCACAUAUAUGUUGACACAGUUUUCAGAGUGAUUUGUUGCAUCAUACAGUGCCAUUCUGUGUGAGCUCCUGUUCUGUGGUCAAUUUGCUGCGGACCAAUCUCAGGUUAGGCUUUUUUUUUAUGCUAGUAUGGGGGGGUUCAGGAAAUAUUUUUGGAGUGUGGGUUCCUAUGAAAUUAAUGGUUGUAGCUAUUUAAUAAAUUAACGUACUACUCCUGUACGAUGCAACAAAUCACUCUGCAAACUGUGUCAUCAUACAUAUGGCAAUAACACAGCCAGACUGACAGGGAAGGGUUUACCGGAGGGAUGGGGGGAUAGCGGGGACUGACAGCGAAGGGUUUACCAGAGGGAUGGGGGGAUAGCAGGGACUUUCAUGGAAGGUCACCAGAGGGAUGGGGCAAAUAACUAUCAGUCUUAUUUUAGUAAAAUUUAAAGGGAAACUAUAGUGCCUAGAAAACAAACUUGUUUUCCUGGCACAAUACCCAGGAAACCCUGGGUUCAGAAGGGGUUAAAAACUCCUUCUGUCACUUACCUGGGUCCAGAGCCCAUGCCCCUCUGUGCUGGUUCAGGUCUGCCUUCGCUCCUCCCCCCGCUGACUGGGGAGACCUAAUGCGCAAUGGCCAUGCUCACAUUGGGAUUUCCCCAUAGGAAAGCAUUAUACAACGAUUCAGCAGUCUCUGUGUGUGUAUUCAGUGGACUGUGUUUACGUAUUCAGCAGUCUGUGUGCAUGUUUGUGUGUAUUCAGUGGUCUGUGUGUAUGUAUUCAGCGUUCUGUGUGUACUCAGCAGUCUGUGUAUGUGUUUGUGUGUAUGUAUUCAGCGGUCUGUGUGUAUGUAUUCAGCAGUCCGUGUGUAUGUAUUCAGCAGUCUGUGUGUAUGUUUGUGUGUAUGCAUUCAGCGGACUGUGUGUGUGCAUGUAUUCAGCGGACUGUGUGUAUGUAUUCAGCAGUCUGUGUGUAUGUAUUCAGCAGUCUGUGUGUAUGUAUUCAGCAGUCUGUGUGUAUGUUUGUGUGUAUGUAUUCAGCGGACUGUGUGUAUGUAUUCAGCGGUCUGUGUGUAUGUGCAUGUAUUCAGCAGUCUGUGUGUCUGUAUGUAUUCAGCAGACUGUGUGUAUGUGUGUGUAUGUAUUCAGCAGUCUGUGUGUAUGCGUGUGUAUGUAUUCAGCAGUCUGUGUGUAUGCGUGUGUGUAUGUUUUCAGCGGACUGUGUGUAUGUAUUCAGCAGUCUGUGUGUAUGUAUGUGUGUAUGUAUUCAGCAGUCUGUGCAGUGGUGAAUCCUGGUUUUGUGCUGCCCUAGGCAAAAC